Colletotrichum spaethianum is the source of this 116-nucleotide ribosomal RNA. Lineage: Eukaryota; Fungi; Ascomycota; Sordariomycetes; Glomerellales; Glomerellaceae. The record is from RefSeq and is a predicted model, not a curated record.
CGAUAUUCAGCGUCCCAAGUUCUUACCUACCAAACGGCACGGGCCAGGAGCGUGUCUUUUCAUGACUUACCGGCACAAUCCUGUCAGCUCUUUCCAGAAUCACGACUUCGAACCCC